GACGAACGCUGGCGGCGUGCCUAAUACAUGCAAGUAGAACGCUGAAGGAGGAGCUUGCUUCUCUGGAUGAGUUGCGAACGGGUGAGUAACGCGUAGGUAACCUGCCUGGUAGCGGGGGAUAACUAUUGGAAACGAUAGCUAAUACCGCAUAAGAGUAGAUGUUGCAUGACAUUUGCUUAAAAGGUGCAUUUGCAUCACUACCAGAUGGACCUGCGUUGUAUUAGCUAGUUGGUGGGGUAACGGCUCACCAAGGCGACGAUACAUAGCCGACCUGAGAGGGUGGUCGGCCACACUGGGACUGAGACGCGGCCCAGACUCCUACGGGAGGCAGCAGUAGGGAAUCUGCGGCAAUGGACGGAAGUCUGACCGAGCAACGCCGCGUGAGUGAAGAAGGUUUUCGGAUCGUAAAGCUCUGUUGUAAGAGAAGAACGAGUGUGAGAGUGGAAAGUUCACACUGUGACGGUAUCUGACCAGAAAGGGACGGCUAACUACGUG
Molecule: ribosomal RNA, 495 nt
Filed under: uncultured bacterium
Lineage: Bacteria
Description: partial 16S ribosomal RNA
Rfam family: Bacterial small subunit ribosomal RNA
Source: RNAcentral